Molecule: ribosomal RNA, 406 nt
Filed under: uncultured bacterium
Lineage: Bacteria
Description: partial 16S ribosomal RNA
Rfam family: Bacterial small subunit ribosomal RNA
Source: RNAcentral
AUUGAACGCUGGCGGCAUGCUUUACACAUGCAAGUCGGACGAGUGGCGAACGGGUGAGUAACGCAUCGGAACGUACCGAGCAAUGGGGGAUAACUGUCCGAACGGACAGCUAAUACCGCAUAUUAUUCGUUCGGCCGAGGUCUGAUUAGCUGGUUGGCGGGGUAAAGGCCCACAAAGGCGACGAUCAGUAGCGGGUCUGAGAGGAUGAUCCGCCACACUGGGACUGAGACACGGCCCAGACUCCUACGGGAGGCAGCAGUGGGGAAUUUUGGACAAUGGGGGCAACCCUGACGCAGCCAUGCCGCGUGAAUGAAGAAGGCCUUCGGGUUGUAAAGUUCUGUCGGUAGCGAGGCGUUAACUACAGAGGAAGCACCGGCUAACUCCGUGCCAGCCGCCGCGGUAAUAC